ACAAGCGGUGGAGCAUGUGGUUAAUUCGAAGCAACGCGAACGAACCUUACCAGGUCUUGACAUCCCCUGACAACCCGAGAGAUCGGGCGUCCCCUUCGGGGGACAGGGUGACAGGUGGUGCAUGGUUGUCGUCAGCUCGUGUCGUGAGAUGUUGGGUUAAGUCCCGCAACGAGCGCAACCCUUAUUGCUAGUUACCAUCAUUGAGUUGGGGACUCUAGCGAGACUGCCAGUGAUAAACUGGAGGAAGGUGGGGAUGACGUCAAAUCAUCAUGCCCCUUAUGACCUGGGCUACAAACGUGAUACAAUGGCUGAAACAAAGGGCAGCGAAGCAGUGAUGUGGAGCGAAACCCAAAAAGCAGUCUCAGUUCGGAUUGAAGUCUGCAACUCGACUUCAUGAAGUCGGAAUCGCUAGUAAUCGCGGAUCAGAACGCCGCGGUGAAUACGUUCUCGGGGUUU
This 456-nucleotide ribosomal RNA is filed under the name uncultured Acholeplasma sp. RNAcentral's name for it is "bacterial SSU rRNA". It matches the Rfam family "Bacterial small subunit ribosomal RNA", at positions 925 to 1382 of the family's 1533-position model. Lineage: Bacteria; Bacillati; Mycoplasmatota; Mollicutes; Acholeplasmatales; Acholeplasmataceae. The record is from RNAcentral.